UACGUAGGGUGCGAGCGUUGUCCGGAAUUAUUGGGCGUAAAGAGCUCGUAGGCGGUCUGUCGCGUCGAUCGUGAAAACUUGGGGCUUAACCCUGAGCUUGCGGUCGAUACGGGCAUGACUGGAGUUCGGCAGGGGAGACUGGAAUUCCUGGUGUAGCGGUGAAAUGCGCAGAUAUCAGGAGGAACACCGAUGGCGAAGGCAGCUCGCUGGGACGGUACUGACGCUGAGGCGCGAAAGCGUGGGGAGCAAACAGG
RNAcentral lists this ribosomal RNA (254 nucleotides) under uncultured bacterium. RNAcentral's name for it is "partial 16S ribosomal RNA". It matches the Rfam family "Bacterial small subunit ribosomal RNA", at positions 524 to 776 of the family's 1533-position model. The record is from RNAcentral.